This is a long non-coding RNA of Lates calcarifer (barramundi perch), 607 nucleotides long. RefSeq lists it as uncharacterized. The transcript has 3 exons. The record is from RefSeq and is a predicted model, not a curated record. NCBI's taxonomy places the organism in Eukaryota, Metazoa, Chordata, Actinopteri, Centropomidae.
CGCGGUGUCGGAGGCGUCAUGGGUUGAAAUUUAAAACCCCGGGCAGCGAAAAUGCCCUUGUCUGCAAACGUGUCUGAAAGUUUAGAGACACCGUGACGACCGCGUCCAACAACAGGAGGAGCUCUGAAACUUAUUCAGAAAAGACAAUGCCCUCUUGUAAGGUGUAGGGGAAAAAGAUGCCAGGAGAAUCUCAUCCUUUAAAACUCACCCAGAAAGGUAGAUCUACGAACCAGUAAGGCUCAUUUUUCUUUUUCUUCUUUGUGGUUUUGAAUGGUUGCUGUGCCGCUUUCUCACAAACAUGCACACUGACUUUUACAUUCUCCCCUCUCUUUCUCUGCUGUGUAUUGGAGGUGCCUAGCCAUGGCUGCUGUGUUGUGACUAUUUCUGCCUAAUGAGAUUGAAAUGAUUGAAAUGUUUUGUGCCUUGCCUUGAAUGUGCUUUGUGCUAUGCUACUUUCAGUUUUUUUGACAAUAUGAUCAUCCAUCUAUUUCGAACAUGGCCACCGGUUCGUCCAAAAUGGCCACCCUAUUUGUUUCUGUCUUUGUCUAUUUUUUCCUUUCUUUCCCUCUCUCUGUUGAGCUGACCUUUUAAUUGUGUUGGGAGGGAU